UAACACUAUCGCGGUCGGCGCGAAAAUUUUUCAUUUCGGAUUUCUAAAGUGCGUAGAAAAUUCUCCGAUCGAGACAGUGGGUGGUUCCGUGGAAAAUUGAUUUUUACAUAGUUUUUAUACCAGCUUUUCACAUAGUUUAUUAAUACGUUUUCAAUUAUUAUUCUUGAGUAUUCUUCCAUAUCAGUAUAGUUCAAUUAAACCUAUUUAAAUCUAAAAGUAUCAAGAUGUCACAACUGAUGAAGAAAAGAUUUCCAUCGAUUACCAGCAUUGAUGUACAGUCUGACGGAAAUACGUCAUUCUUGCGCGCUGCCCGAAAUGGCCAAUUGGACAAAGUUCUAGAACAUCUGAAAUCAAAUAUCGACAUAAAUACUAGC
Long non-coding RNA from Leptinotarsa decemlineata (Colorado potato beetle), 374 nucleotides. The record is from RefSeq and is a predicted model, not a curated record. Lineage: Eukaryota; Metazoa; Arthropoda; Insecta; Coleoptera; Chrysomelidae.